This 367-nucleotide ribosomal RNA is filed under the name uncultured Eubacteriales bacterium. Its description in RNAcentral is "uncultured Clostridiales bacterium partial 16S ribosomal RNA". Lineage: Bacteria; Bacillati; Bacillota; Clostridia; Eubacteriales. The record is from RNAcentral.
GGAGUCUGGGCCGUAUCUCAGUCCCAGUGUGGCCGGUCAUCCUCUCAGAUCGGCUAAUCAUCGUCGCCUUGGUAGGCCUUUACCCUACCAACUAGCUAAUGAUACGCGAGCCCAUCUCUAACCGAUAAAUCUUUGAUUAUAUAGUGAUGCCACUUCAUAAUAUUAUGCGGUAUUAGCACCUAUUUCUAAGUGUUAUCCCCCUGUUAGAGGUAGGUUGCUCACGCGUUACUCACCAGUCCGCCACUAGCUUGCACUAUUGCACUAAAUUAACUUCUUUAGUUAACUUAGUGCAAUAACGCUCACCCGUUCGACUUGCAUGUGUUAAGCACGCCGCCAGCGUUCGUCCUCGAGCCAGGAUCAAACUACU